RNAcentral lists this ribosomal RNA (252 nucleotides) under uncultured prokaryote. Its description in RNAcentral is "partial 16S ribosomal RNA". It matches the Rfam family "Bacterial small subunit ribosomal RNA", at positions 525 to 775 of the family's 1533-position model. The record is from RNAcentral.
ACGUAGGAGGCAAGCGUUAUCCGGAGUUACUGGGCGUAAAGGGCGUGCAGGCGGUUGGCUAAGUUCGUUGUGAAAGCUCCCAGGCUUAACCGGGAGAGGACGUGCGAGACUGUCGGACUAGAGGCAGGUAGAGGCAAGUGGAAUUCCGGGUGGAGUGGUAAAAUGCGUAGAGAUCCGGAGGAACCCCAGUGGCGAAGGCGACCUGCUCGGCCUUGCCUGACGCUCAGACGCGAAAGCAUGGGGAGCGAACGG